RNAcentral lists this ribosomal RNA (321 nucleotides) under Shigella sonnei. RNAcentral describes it as "partial 23S ribosomal RNA". It matches the Rfam family "Bacterial large subunit ribosomal RNA", at positions 1428 to 1751 of the family's 2925-position model. The record is from RNAcentral. Lineage: Bacteria; Pseudomonadati; Pseudomonadota; Gammaproteobacteria; Enterobacterales; Enterobacteriaceae.
GGUUAAUAUUCCUGUACUUGGUGUUACUGCGAAGGGGGGACGGAGAAGGCUAUGUUGGCCGGGCGACGGUUGUCCCGGUUUAAGCGUGUAGGCUGGUUUUCCAGGCAAAUCCGGAAAAUCAAGGCUGAGGCGUGAUGACGAGGCACUACGGUGCUGAAGCAACAAAUGCCCUGCUUCCAGGAAAAGCCUCUAAGCAUCAGGUAACAUCAAAUCGUACCCCAAACCGACACAGGUGGUCAGGUAGAGAAUACCAAGGCGCUUGAGAGAACUCGGGUGAAGGAACUAGGCAAAAUGGUGCCGUAACUUCGGGAGAAGGCACGC